ACUUGGAAAACUGGAGCUAAUACGUGCUUUCAAGGGCGACUCACGAAGCCUGGCAUUUAUUAGAUUAAACCAACUGGCCUAGCCAUGUGGUGAUUCAUAAUAACUCAGCGGACCGGCGCAAGCCGGCAGACCGAACAAAUUUCUGCCCUAUCACCUUUCGUAUGUAGGGUAGUGGCCUACAUAGGGAGUGACGGGUACGGAGGUCUAGGGAUCGACGCCGUAGAGACAGCCUUAGAAACAGCUGUCACAUCCAAGGAUAGCAGCAGGGGCGAAACGUGACCAAUCGGCAAUGCCGGAGUCCGUGAACGUCAAUAACGGGAUCGCACUACGUGUGAUCUCCGAAAUGGGAACAAUGUACAACACUUUCGAGGAACAAUGGGAGGGCAAGUCUGGUGCCAGCAGCCGCGGUAAUUCCAGCUCCUAUAGUGUAUGUUAACGUUGCUGCGCUUAAAAAGUCCGUAGCUGGAUUUCUUGUGACGGAGCCUCUGACGCGGGUGGACCGCAUGGUUCUCCUGAUCGUCUUGAUCCGUCACAAUCUUGUGCGAGAAAUCGCACCGAUUACCGUGAAGAAAUCGUAGUGCUCAAAGCAGGCGUUUGCAGCUGUACGUUCAAGCAUGGAAUAAUGAAAUAUGACUCGUGUCGUAUUUUGUUGGUUCAACGAAACGAGUAAUGAUUAAUAGGGGCAGUUGGGGGCAUCUCUACUACUGCGGGACUGGUGAAAUGGGUUGAUCGCAGUAAGAGAAACUGAAGCGAAAGCGUUUGCCAAGGAUGCUUUCAUUAGUCAAGGACGAAAGCUAGAGGAUGGAAGGCGAUUAGACACCGCUGUACUUCUAGCCAUAAACUAUACCGCCUAGGGAUUGGGGGUAGGUAUAACACUCCUUCAGCACCUUUUGAGAAAUCAAGGCUUCGGGUUGCGGGGGGAGUAUGGUCGCAAGGCUGAAACUUAAAGGAAUUGACGGAAGGGCACCACCAUUAGUGGAACCUGCGAUUCAAUUUGACCCAACACGUAAACCUUACCAGGGCCAGACACUGUUAGGAUUGACAAGCUGAAAGACUUUUCUCGAUUCAGUGGACGGUGGUGCAUGGCCGUAUUUAGUUCGUGGAGUGAUUUGUCUGGUUGAUUCCGAUAACGAACGAGACCCCCACCUGCUAACUAGGUUUUCCAUUCUCGAAUGGGAUGCCUUCUUAGAGGGACAACUGGUGUAAGCCAGGGGAAGUGGGGGGCAACUACAGGUCAGUGAUGCCCUCAGAUGUCCUGGGCCACAGGCGUGUUAUAAUGGCAUGGUCAUCAAGCACUUGCUCGUCCGAUAGGACCGGCUAAUCUUGUGAAACCAUGUCGCAGUGGGGAUUGGGGCUUGCAAUUGUUCCCCAUGAACGAAGAAUUAAUAGUAGGCGCGAGGUAUCAACUUGCACCGACUACGUCCCUGCCCUUUGUACACACCGCCCGUCGCUCCUACCGAUUGGAUGUUCCGGCGAGUUGUUUGGAGUGCGGCCUAUGCUUCGGCAUGGCUGUCACGAAGAUCCGCGAGUCACAGCAUCUAGAGGAAGGAGAAGUCGUAACAAGGUA
Molecule: ribosomal RNA, 1567 nt
Filed under: metagenome
Description: SSU rRNA
Rfam family: Eukaryotic small subunit ribosomal RNA
Source: RNAcentral